Ostrea edulis (European flat oyster) is the source of this 437-nucleotide long non-coding RNA. RefSeq lists it as uncharacterized. The transcript has 4 exons. Lineage: Eukaryota; Metazoa; Mollusca; Bivalvia; Ostreida; Ostreidae. The record is from RefSeq and is a predicted model, not a curated record.
GAUAUUCCUCCAGAAGCUUUACCAGUGAUCCCCACCUACAGAGAGUCCCUACAGCAUGACGUAUACAAUCCCAGAAAAUUCGCUAAGAACAGUGAUGCUCCGAUUCGGAAAACAAGUAAGCAUAUCUCGUUGACGGAAUUCAACGAUUCGUCGAGGACUGACGAAAGUUUCUUUACGUUCUGGAAUAAUAAAUUCACUUAGCAGCACCUGAGCAGUCCCGCCAAAUCGUCCUGAUACCAGCACAUUCCAUACCCUCCCUUUACACAUUCCACCCAAACUUUUCCAGCGAGGUGGUCGGAAGGAAAGAAGCGACCUCUCCCGGAGAGAAGGGGUGGUUACUCCAAGGAACAUUACGAUCGAAUGAUGUCAUGUCCUGGAAUUUGUUAGAAUUUAUAUCUGUAUGGUUGAUCUUGAUAAAUAAAUUUUUAUGGACUUUA